RNAcentral lists this ribosomal RNA (207 nucleotides) under uncultured bacterium. Its description in RNAcentral is "partial 16S ribosomal RNA". It matches the Rfam family "Bacterial small subunit ribosomal RNA", at positions 568 to 774 of the family's 1533-position model. The record is from RNAcentral.
CGCGUAGGCGGCUCUUCAAGUUAGGCGUGAAAGGCCUGGGCUCAACCUGGGAACUGCGCUUAAGACUGGAGGGCUUGAGUCCGGGAGAGGGUGGUGGAAUUCCCAGUGUAGAGGUGAAAUUCGUAGAUAUUGGGAGGAACACCGGUGGCGAAGGCGGCCACCUGGCCCGGAACUGACGCUGAGGCGCGAAAGCGUGGGGAGCAAACA